AAAAGGUUAGUUAACCAAUAACAUUGGCAUGUCAAGCCAAAAUGGCUCACACUGAGCACCUUUUA
RNAcentral lists this transfer RNA (65 nucleotides) under Procryptotermes hesperus. Its description in RNAcentral is "tRNA-Asp". The record is from RNAcentral. Lineage: Eukaryota; Metazoa; Arthropoda; Insecta; Blattodea; Kalotermitidae.